GAGUUUGAUCCUGGCUCAGGAUGAACGCUAGCUACAGGCUUAACACAUGCAAGUCGAGGGGCAGCAUCGCGAUAGCUUGCUAUUGCGGAUGGCGACCGGCGCACGGGUGAGUGACGCGUAUCCAACCUUCCCGCAACUGGGGAAUAACCUUGCGAAAGUAAGACUAAUACCCCAUGGUCUCCACGGAUGGCAUCUGAAAUGGAGUAAAGGUUUCGGCCGGUUGCGGAUGGGGAUGCGUCCGAUUAGCUUGACGGCGGGGUAACGGCCCACCGCGGCAUCGAUCGGUAGGGGUUCUGAGAGGAAGGUCCCCCACAUUGGAACUGAGACACGGUCCAAACUCCUACGGGAGGCAGCAGUGAGGAAUAUUGGUCAAUGGGCGGAAGCCUGAACCAGCCAAGUAGCGUGAAGGACGACUGCCCUAUGGGUUGUAAACUUCUUUUAUGCGGGGAUAAAGUUCGCCACGUGUGGCGUUUUGCAGGUACCGCAUGAAUAAGGACCGGCUAAUUCCGUGCCAGCAGCCGCGGUAAUACGGAAGGUCCAGGCGUUAUCCGGAUUCAUUGGGUUUAAAGGGAGCGUAGGCCGCCUUUUAAGCGUGUUGUGAAAUGUAGGGGCUCAACCCCUGCACUGCAGCGCGAACUGGAGGGCUUGAGUACACACAAAGUAGGCGGAAUUCAUGGUGUAGCGGUAAAGUGCUUAGAUAUCAUGAAGAACCCCGAUGCGAAGGCAGCUUACUGGAGUGUAACUGACGCUGAAGCUCGAAAGCGCGGGUAUCGAACAGGAUUAGAUACCCUGGUAGUCCGCGCGGUAAACGAUGGAUGCCCGCUGUUUGCCACUUUGGUAAGCGGCCAAGCGAAAGCGUUAAGCAUCCCACCUGGGGAGUACGCCGGCAACGGUGAAACUCAAAGGAAUUGACGGGGGCCCGCACAAGCGGAGGAACAUGUGGUUUAAUUCGAUGAUACGCGAGGAACCUUACCCGGGCUUGAAUUGCAGGAGAACGAUCCAGAGAUGGUGAGGCCCUUCGGGGCUCCUGUGAAGGUGCUGCAUGGUUGUCGUCAGCUCGUGCCGUGAGGUGUCGGCUUAAGUGCCAUAACGAGCGCAACCCCUCUCCGUAGUUGCCAUCGGGUGAAGCCGGGCACUCUGCGGAUACUGCCACCGUAAGGUGUGAGGAAGGUGGGGAUGACGUCAAAUCAGCACGGCCCUUACGUCCGGGGCUACACACGUGUUACAAUGGGGCAUACAGAAAGCAGGCGGCCGGCAACGUCCGUCUAAUCAUCAAAGUGUCCCUCAGUUCGGACUGGGGUCUGCAACCCGACCCCACGAAGCUGGAUUCGCUAGUAAUCGCGCAUCAGCCAUGGCGCGGUGAAUACGUUCCCGGGCCUUGUACACACCGCCCGUC
This 1396-nucleotide ribosomal RNA is filed under the name uncultured bacterium. RNAcentral's name for it is "bacterial SSU rRNA". It matches the Rfam family "Bacterial small subunit ribosomal RNA". The record is from RNAcentral.